AUGACAAUGAUAAACAUAGUUAUGGAAAUGAAACUGAUUUGCCGUGUAGUGAACUUCAGCGGCGCGCGCGCCUCUCGUCGCUCGAGCGCGGCGGGUGUGUCCUACCGCGCAUGCGCGUCAGGCGGGCAGGCAGAGAGGCAGAGAGGCAGACACAUCCUCACAUCCAGGAGCUGUCCGGUGCGUGCGCCUCUUCUGUGCCGCCGCUGCUGCUGGAGCCGUCGCCACGACCGAGGACACCCCGGUGCCGACCCGAACCCUCUCACCGGAAAAGGCCGAACCGAACCGAAUCGAACCGAACCCGCCCAGUUAACCGAGCAUCUCUUCAUAUCUGCCCCCCCACCCCCACCCCGACCUCCUGACUCUUCGGGGCCCCAUCUUGGCCACUCAGCAGUCCAUCCACGGCUCCAGGUCACGCAGGAGGGAGGGAGGAGAGAGAUAGAUAGAGAGAGAGAGAGAGAGAGAGAGAGGUGAUCUCUUGAUCCGUACAGUAGCUGUGAUGUCCAGUCGGUGCAGCUGUGCAUUUGACCGUGGUCUAACGUGUUAUCUAUUCUGCACUGAGCUGAAUGAGUUCCACAUGCUGGCACUUUGAGGGGCCGGCGCUGGAAUGGAAAGAUCACACGGCAGCCACGUGCGCUGCCUCCUCGCAUGCUCUCUCUCGCCUCCAUUGUCCCGGAGCAGUUUGCGGGCGGCAGGAUGCCCCGUAGAAAAGUACAGGACCCGGUGUCAUGUUGAGCUUUUCUUUUGAGCGUGAAUGUAGCACCAGCGUCAGUCCUCUGAACUCUGACCCCUCCGGAGGACUCGCAGUAAAGCAGCUGUUUUCAGACCUUUUACGAUCCAAUUAAUUCAGUGCCUCGCGUCAUGUAUUGUUUUAAAAUGGUCCCAUUCUAACUACGUAUUUCAGCACUCAGGAAAUUGGCUCAUCAGGUUACCACUGCUGCUCCAAAACUCACCAAUCCAGUUGUUGUUUCCUCGCUCUUUCAUAUUCUGCAUUAGCUCUGGGAGUCAUGGCUGCUGCUCUCACCAGUACCUCAUUGUGCAAUCUUUCAUUUUAUAACCUAAUCUUUAUGACUUUUCACUGACGAGCACAUGCCAGGAAAAAGUUCAAAUGCUUGCUGCGCCCUUCAAAAGAGCUCCACCAACACUGCCGACUUGUUCCUCUCCUUGCCUACUAUACUAUUUGGCAUUAAUCCACAGAGCGAACGUGGGCGGGUUGUGUGAACUCUGCUUGUUUAGAAUUCAUGAGCAGAGGGGUCAUUAAUUCUCUGACUUCAGAAUCGCAUCACGUGGACAUUUCUGGGCGAGUCAGUGAACGCGUGAAAGCGGCAGUUUGUAGGGAAAACGUCGCCAAACAAACAAACAAACAAACAAACUGGGAAUAUUGGUUGAGGCUGAGGUUUAGAGAAAGAGAGGAGACACGUCAACUGUGUCUGUUGCCGUUCUGGUUUUUUUUUUAACUCUGUGUGUGUGUGUGUUACUUAUUAAGAGGGAAUGCAACAAGUAGAACCAGAUGUGGGCCGAGCGUCUCCAGGCCCCGUUCACACACAUCUGAAUCCCCAAGCUAAACCGCCACAUUGACAUUUUUUUUACAGGGGAACAGGAAACAAAACAGCCUACUUUUUUUUUUUAACCUGGCAGAGUGUCCCCUAGAUAGAUUUGUCUUUGAACGAUGUUGUCUAUAGUGGUUUCACUAGAGAUUGAACAAUUCAAGAUGUUGAUGGGCAGAAGGUUUCCAGCUUGUCACAAAUACAUCUUCAUCUUUCUCCUUGUACUUGCUUUUGAAUUUGUUUCUAUCAAAGCAAAUUCCUCCUAUGUCAAAACCUACUACAAUAAUCUGAUUGUGAUUGAUUGGGAAAAUGUUGACGGGCGGUUAUCUCUGCUUUCUGGCAUUUUACAUUCAAUGAGAACGUAAUCCAAUCAAUUAUUACAAUAGUUUUUGCCUCAUCAGUUAAUUUCCUUGUCAAAAUCUGGAAAAUGAAGUUGAAUAGUGUGACGGGCGAACCUGCAAACAGUUACCGUUUCUCUUCAGUCAUAUUUCCAUUCUCGAUUUUUUUGUGCAGACUCACCUACACAGGCGUUGUGGUUCCUCACAUGGUCACGAGCAAAACUGCUUAUUAGACCUGAGCGAGUUGCUUCAUGUGUGGCUGCGCCCGCGCGUGUGUGUGUGUUUGCACAUGCAGAAGCACAGGCCCCGCACAAUUGCACACGUCUGAUCAAACAAAGAUACGAGGGUGUGUGCUGACAUUUAGAGUGCACCCUGGAUUACGAGAGUGUGGCAGAGGAGGAUAAACUCCGUGGCGUAACAUCAAUAUUAGUUCAUGUCGGUGAGGUUUAAGUGGUCAUUAGUGUUAAGCUGGUAAGAAUUACACAGCCCUUCAGCUCCAGAGAGAUAAUACAUAAUGCUCCGUAAUGGGACUUCAAUUGUAAUGUGAGGUAAUAAACUCACAGAAGCCGAGGAACCGUUCGAAAUAAAUGGGCAGUUGGUUCUCCUCUCGUUCUUCGUGUCUUUUAUUUCCUGGUUUGUAUCAGGAGUUCCGUGUCUGGGGCUAAAGAUAUUUCAUGAUGACUCAGUGAAAUUACGCUGACUCAUUGAAGAGUACUCGACCCCCUCUUGCUUCCUUCCCUUCCCUGUCGUCACACGUUUUCGACGAGUGACCUCAGUAUCCUGUCUUUCACUAUUUGGAAAAUUUCGGGAAAGACAGACAGACUCUUUGUUUCCCCCGGAGUUGAACCCCUCGAACGGUUGCAUCAGUCAGUCAGUCAACCCAGGAAAAAGGAAGUAUAAACUCCAGAAGAAAACAGUAAAAACUUGGUGACAUUCAAAUUUUUGUCUGGUAAAAUCUUGUCAUGUUUCAGCUGGUGAGACUAUUGUAGUUGUUGUUGACGGGAUCUCAGGUAACUCCUGCUCCUCCAUAUGCUUUGGUAAAGGGGGGCGUCUGUUACUGCAGAAUGAAUGGCCUCAUUGAUGAGUCCUUCGGGAGUUGUCCUGCUUUACUGGCACACACACACACUGGGACGUCGGGGGACAUGGCAACAUGAAUCCAUUCCCUCUGGUGAAGCCUGCUUCCCGUUAAGAUCCUUCUCCAAGCAGCAUGUCACAUUCCUCCUUCGUCUCUUUUCCAUCUGUACUGGUCCGGCUGACGUUGGUUG
Scophthalmus maximus (turbot) is the source of this 3147-nucleotide long non-coding RNA. The record is from Ensembl. NCBI's taxonomy places the organism in Eukaryota, Metazoa, Chordata, Actinopteri, Pleuronectiformes, Scophthalmidae.